Molecule: small nucleolar RNA, 83 nt
Organism: Cuculus canorus (common cuckoo)
Lineage: Eukaryota; Metazoa; Chordata; Aves; Cuculiformes; Cuculidae
Product: small nucleolar RNA SNORD45
Exons: 1
Source: RefSeq, a predicted model, not a curated record
GGUCUAUGAUGUCUCUUGGCAUGUAUUAUCUGAGCAGCAGGCUGAAGAUGAGCAGUUCUGCUCUUGAGUUCCUCUGAGACCUG